UCACCCUAAUCAGAAGACUUGAAUGAAAACAGGAAAAAAAAAAAAGAACUAAAAUGAUUCUGGUAGGAUAGAGGGGCUCUGAACCUGCUCUAAUCAGAUCACUUGCUCUAAAAUUAAGUUCUAGGUCCCUGCCCUUUCCAGGCAUCCUUUUUUAUAAUUAAUAUACCAUCCAACUCUGACAUCUGAUUUCCCCCAAAACUCCCAAUCCUUGGUAUUCCAGAUAAACUCUUAGGAUUAUAGAUUUUUAAACCUGUUAUGCAACUGAAUUCUCUUUUAUGCACAUAAAUGAGGGGAAAGGGUUAAAGAAGGGGGAAAGGUAAUGGAAGGGAAAAUAGAAGUAGUAGGGGAAAGGUGUAAGAAAAAGGGACAGGUUGUAAAAGGGGAGGACAAUUUGAGGGAGAUUGUAGUCAGAAGCAAAAAAUCAGGGAGGAAAGGGGGAAAGGAAAGAGAAAAUCAUAACUUGUGGUAAAUAAGAUGGCAGGGAAUACAGAAUUAGUUAUUUUAGCUAUGAAUGUUAAUUUGAUGAACUCUCCCAUAAAAUGAAAGCAGAUAGAAGACUGGAUUAAAAGACAGAAUCUCACAAUAGGUCAUUUACAAGAAUCACAUUUAAAGCAGAGUUAUAUAUACAUUAUAAAGAUAAAAAGCUAGACCAGAAUGUAUGAUGCUUCAGGUGAAGUAAACAAGAGCAGAGGUAGAGAGAUCCUGAUCUCAGAUCAAUCAAAAAAAAAAAUCUAAUUAAAAGAGAUAAGUGUAAUAACAGGGCUAUCACCCAUAAACACCCAGAAUCAGCCGGAAUCAGAAUAAGCAAAGUUCCUUAAUCUUUAUUCUUGGUCUUAGAUGUAGGAUUGAACAGGAUGGAAGCAGAUUUUGUGGGACUGCCUUCCUCCACGUCUACCGCCAAGAGUGUGUCCCUUGCUCAUUUUAUUCCACCCCUUAGUCCCUCCUACAAUCCUCUAUACACCAAUCACUGAGCCAGUAUAGAUAGUGGAAAGGACCAUUUUCCAAGCAUAUAUUCAUAGAGUACUGUCCAAUCAGUAGUUAGCCUCAAGUGCUCAGCAGUCCUGAUCUCAGUGGAUCAACCCAAUAGUUUCAGCCCUCUACAUUUCCCACUUUCUUUUGUUUUAGAACACAGGUAGUCAAGGCAUCCUUGACUUCUCAGGAUAGUGAGAGCCCCCAAAAGGAGUUGAUCAUGCCCUCCCUGACUUCUCAAAAAAGAGGUGAAAACACCAAAAAGGAGGUGAUCACACCCUCCCUGACAUCUCAGGAAAGGAGAUGAAAAGCACCAAAGGAAGUGGGGAUUGCUAGCGGGUUUCUGGGCUGAAGAGUCUUAUUAGAAACAGGUACACAGAAACCCAUCAGCAUGGGAGGUAUUACAUGAGCACAUAGCUAUAACUCACAGGCUAUUAGUGAUGACUCUCCCCACACUCAGUACAGGCUCAAUGUGGUACAACAAACAUGAAUUGUAUAUGUGAGUAGUGAUAUAACAAACAAUAUAAAUCAAUAUGGUAUUAUAAGGGAUUUCCAGAAGUCCUAGAAGGAGGGUAUGUAAACAACAGUCACACAUAUGCCUUCUUCAGCAGUCAAGAAAUAGUCCAAAACCAAUCUAUUGUCCAUUUCUUCAUUUGUCAGGGAAUCCAAUAAUCCCCACAAAUUUUUGAAGUUCUGCAAGUCUUUUUAUGUGUUAGGGAAUCCGAUGAUCCCAGCAGAUUUUGAAGUCCUGCAACAGUCUUAUCAUGUCUCAGAAAAUCCAAUGAUUCCUGAGAGUUUUCAAGUCCUACAACAGUCUUAUCAUAUCUCAGAGAAUCCAAUGAUUCCUGAGGGUUUUGAAGUCCUACAACAAUCUUAUCAUGUCUCAGAGAAUCCAAUGAUUCUUUAGGGUUUUGAUGUCCAACAAUUUUUGAUGUCCAUGAGUCAAAUGCCACAGCUUCCAUGCUCUUUCAGUGGUGGGCACAGUCAGCAACAGAACCAUUCAAUGUUUCUUGGGUCUUCUCCUUUGUUUCAAGGGUCUGCUCUGUCUCCCUCCCAUGGACAAGGUGAAUAUGGCCUGUUGGCACCCAUCUGAUUCCUUCUCCACCUGUGGAAAUACAAGCAAACUCUCUCCCUCAAGCAGUUAACCUAUUUGGUCCCUUCCAUUCACCACUGUCUGGGUCUCUCCAUAUCACCUGGCAAUUAUCUAAAGAUAGUGGAGCUGCUCACACAGGACACUGACCUGGUGGGUUGUAACACCUGUCUGCCAGAGCCAGUGCAUCUUUGUCAAAAAUCAAGAAAUUAAUAGUACAAAGAGCUAGAUUUAGAAGUUCUCUAGGGUUACCUGUGACUCCCUCUUUCUUUUGUUUUUGGAGGAGUGUCUCAAUGUCCCUGUUUCUCCUCUCUUUAUCUGCUCUUGAAGAUUAAAGGGUAUGCCACACUGGUGUAUCAGUUUUCCAUUGAAUAGGAACAGGUGAAAGUGUUGGCAGGCCUUCAACAUCAGCCCUGCCUAAAAAACCAAGGUACUCAUUUUUAAACCUAAUUGUUUUAAAAUAUCUCUUCCCCACAUAUUGAUUGGGAUUUUUCAACUAUAAAAGGAGUAAAAACUCCUGGUUCAUCUUCAAAUAUCUAUCUCAAAGGGGUAGCACUAACUUCAGCUGCUAUUGAUUCCUUUACUCCUGACAUGUAGGUGUCUGCCUUAAUCUUUGACCAGUGACUGGGCCGGUUGGCACCUCUAAUGACUAUACGAUCUGCAUCAGUGUCUACCAAUCCUUCUAAUUGUAUAGCAUUUAUAUAGAUAGUGAGCAUAGGUUGGGCACUGUCACAGCUGCUGUCCAGUAUAUGCCUGGAUUUUUUUGCUUGGAGUCAGAAUUUGGGUGACUAUCACCAGAUUGCUUAUUAGGAGUCUGUAUUAGUAAACCUGAUGCUACUACUUCUCCUGGUUGAUAAGUCACACAUUGUCUACCUAUAUUAGUGACUGGGAUAUUGUCUACACAUUCCCCAGUUUCCCACAUCAGUGUGUGGAUGGACACUGUUUUGUACACCAGAGGAGGUGAAAUGGUGAAGCCUACUGUACCUAGAGGCAAGGCAUCCAUAGGCUGGAGAGCAACAGAUUUCACCUUUCCAGCGGGUAUCUCAAUUAUCCCAGCUGCAUACAACUCUAUUCUCCCCAAUUGUAAUCCCUUUCUCCCAUCAGAUUGCUUUCUGGCUGGUUGAUUGUGUAAUUCCCUUCUCCCAUCAUAUGGCUUCCUGGCUGAUUACUCAUCUGGGUACUGGGCUUCUAGGCAUUCUCUGGGUCUACCAUUGGCUGCAAUCAUGCCCUAAGUGUUUUUUGCCUGAGUCUGUGGGGCUGGGCCCUUCAUCCCAUUUCCCUGAAUCAGUCUACAUUCUGAGGCCCAUUGGAAGCCUCUGUUGCAUUUUGGACAUGGGGUUUAGGGUCUUAUUCUCUCAUUCUGUUUUCUCAUUCUGUCUCUAUACCAACAUUGAGCUUCCAGAUGCCCCACUUUAAAACAUUGAAAUCAUUGACGAGUCUCUCUGGAAGUCCCUUGUCAAAAGGGAACCUGUCUCCCCAUAUUUCGAUUUUGGGAGGUCUGCAUCAUAGCCUGGCUAUAAAAGGCGUUUGUGUCCACUGUGGCACAGCAUCUUAUGAUCUCUAAAGCAGCAUCCUUGCGUAGUCCUAGUGUAAUUCCUCUACAGACUUCAUUAGCAUUUUCUUUAGCAAGUUGCCUUAUCAUAAUGUCUGUUACUGCAUUUUCACCAUUAGUAGGUACAAUAGCUGUCUGCAAACAUCCCACAAAGUCAGCAAAGGCGUCAUUUGGCCCUUGUGUUAUUUUUGUGAAGGUUUCACCCUUGUCAUUUUUAUUGGGAAGCAAAGUUCAUGCUUUGAUAGCAGCAGCAGCAAUUUGCCAAUAAGCUGCUAAGGGGUAAUUAAUCUGUACUGAAAUUUCUGCAUAAGAACCUACACCUGUUAGUUGGUUGCCAGUGAUUGGAGAAUUAAGUCCACUAUGCCUAUUUUGUUGUGCUUGUGUCCUACAGAGUUCACUAUAUUCAGAAAGACACAAGUUUUGUCCAGGUUCUAAGCAUGUCCUUGGUAUAGAUUUCCAGUCCCUAGGGGUUAAGACUUCAUAAGUCAAAUUAUGUAAUAACAUCUUAACAUAAGCUGAUGUAGCCCCUAAAGAGUACAAGCUUUUUUCAGGUCUUUGAGGAUUUCUAUAUCAAAAGGAACAUAUCUUCUACUUUCUUGACCUGAAGAGUCAAACUCUUGAAUAAAUAGAUACAUUCCCAGUUGCAAAUCACUUAAAUUCUAGCCUUCUUCCCUGGCUUUAACUACUGUCUUUUGCAAUCUAGUCAUA
Sarcophilus harrisii (Tasmanian devil) is the source of this 4319-nucleotide long non-coding RNA. The record is from Ensembl. NCBI's taxonomy places the organism in Eukaryota, Metazoa, Chordata, Mammalia, Dasyuromorphia, Dasyuridae.